UUGAACGCUGGCGGUAGGCCUAACACAUGCAAGUCGAGCGGUAACAUUUCUAGCUUGCUAGAAGAUGACGAGCGGCGGACGGGUGAGUAACGCGUAGAAAUCUACCUAGUAGUGGGGGAUAGCCCAGAGAAAUUUGGAUUAAUACCGCAUACGCCCUACGGGGUAAAGCAGGGGACCUUCGGGCCUUGCGCUGAUGGAUGAGCCCGCGUCGGAUUAGCUUGUUGGUAGGGUAACGGCCUACCAAGGCGACGAUCCGUAGCUGGUCUGAGAGGAUGAUCAGCCACACUGGGACUGAGACACGGCCCAGACUCCUACGGGAGGCAGCAGUGGGGAAUAUUGCACAAUGGGCGCAAGCCUGAUGCAGCCAUGCCGCGUGUGUGAAGAAGGCCUUAGGGUUGUAAAGCACUUUCAGCAGUGAGGAAAGGGGUGUCGUUAAUAGCGCCAUCCUGUGACGUUAACUGCAGAAGAAGGACCGGCUAACUCCGUG
RNAcentral lists this ribosomal RNA (487 nucleotides) under uncultured bacterium. RNAcentral describes it as "bacterial SSU rRNA". It matches the Rfam family "Bacterial small subunit ribosomal RNA", at positions 30 to 507 of the family's 1533-position model. The record is from RNAcentral.